Molecule: ribosomal RNA, 495 nt
Filed under: uncultured bacterium
Lineage: Bacteria
Description: bacterial SSU rRNA
Rfam family: Bacterial small subunit ribosomal RNA
Source: RNAcentral
AACGAACGCUGGCGGCGUGCUUAAUACAUGCAAGUCGAACGUGAUUCCCGACUUCGGUUGGGAUGAAAGUGGCGAACGGGUGAGUAACACGUAAGUAAUCUGCCUUCAAGUUUGGGAUAACCCUGCCAACGCGGGGCUAAUACCGGAUGUGGUCCUGCAGACCCAUGUUUGCGGGAUUAAAGGUCGCGAGACCGCUUGGAGAUGAGCUUGCGGCCCAUUAGCUAGUUGGUGAGGUAACGGCCCACCAAGGCAGGGAUGGGUAGCCGGCCUGAGAGGGUGUACGGCCACAUUGGGACUGAGAUACGGCCCAGACUCCUACGGGAGGCAGCAGUAGGGAAUUUUGCGCAAUGGACGGAAGUCUGACGCAGCAACGCCGCGUGAAGGAUGAAGGCCUUCGGGUUGUAAACUUCUUUGAUCAGGGAAGAAAGAAAUGACGUACCUGAAGAACAAGACCACGCUAACUACGUGCAGCAGCCGCGGUAAUCAAUACUCGUA